GGAUUCUGGAGGAUCCUGAGGAAAGAAUUACAAUAUAUUUGUUGUGGUUUUCUACAUUUUCUCCAAUCGUAUCAUACUGUCAGAGUCAGAAUAGUAGGGAAAAGAGAAAAGACCUCUCAUGGAAGGCUUGUCCCAGAAAGCAGGAAAACAGACUGCUCCUACCCAGACUAAAGAAGGAUCUCAACUGCUUAUAGAAGAGGAAAAGAUAUUCUGUGAUGACCCCACUGUGGUGAGGAAGGAGAACAAAGGAGAGAGGAGAGAACAUUUCUUUCUCAAUUCAGAAAUUGUAGAAGAACAGGGUUAAUUCACCUGGUUACAGAACCUUUCCAAUGGAAGCACGCUUGCUUUGUUGACCCAAUCAAGUAUCUCUGUUUCAUCUCAAGUAUGUGGUGGAACACUCACUAUUCCUGCUACCAAAAUCUUCCCCACGGAUAUAAGAAACAACAAGUUCAGCUGCGCAGCUCUUGUAAGUGCAAAAUUAAUUUUAGGUAGCUCCAUAAAUUCUCUUGUAAUCAUAAUAUAAAAAUACAACACAAUAAUUGAACUUAUAACCCUUUUUGUAUAUGACACACAUCUUUUUUUGGUGAAUUACACCUGGUUACUUUAGAUCACAUUUUCCAUGUAAUUUAUUUUUUAAGGAAAAUAUAUAAUUAAUUUUUUUUUCUGAAACUUUACACUUGUUAGGUGAAACUUAGCAGUUACAAUAUCAUACAUCUUAACAACUCUGUAUCUCACUUUUGAUUUGUGAUUAUCAAGUUAUGGUUUUUAAAUUGCUGAGGCAUAGAUGGUAUCUUUGCUUGAAGACCAGAAAUCACCCAAGAACAUAAUUCUCUUUUUUAGUACCUCUCUUUCUGAAGAAAGAGAAAGAACAACAAACCUCUCUUUAUGAAGAAAAAUAAAACUACAUCCUCUCUGUAAAAUGCCGCA
RNAcentral lists this long non-coding RNA (927 nucleotides) under Cyanistes caeruleus (blue tit). RNAcentral's name for it is "lncRNA (ENSCCEG00000000315.1)". The record is from RNAcentral. Lineage: Eukaryota; Metazoa; Chordata; Aves; Passeriformes; Paridae.